Molecule: long non-coding RNA, 5294 nt
Organism: Taeniopygia guttata (zebra finch)
Lineage: Eukaryota; Metazoa; Chordata; Aves; Passeriformes; Estrildidae
Source: Ensembl
GAUGGCGCUCUCCGUGAGGCACGGACGGGACAGCCGGGGGUGGCGGGAGCCGGGCGGCACCUCAGUGGAGACAGUCCGCGGGGCCGAGCGCCGGGGUUCCCGGGCUGCCCCCGCCACCGCCCUCCCCACCAGCUGACAUUUGCCAUGCGCAGACAACACGCACUUCACCAAACAAUUCGGCCCGAGCCCCGCUGCAAACUGGCUGGGUUAUUUUUCUCCUCGUUCUCCGCUUGUUUAUGGCUGACGCUAUCUCGCCUGCACUGCUCCCUCGGUUUCAUUAUCUCUUCUCGCAGAUGGACCGUGGCUUUCCUCCUUCACAGCGUUUUUCUCUCUGCUGGUGCUAUAGCUCCCUCUCCUCUCCCCAGCUCUGCAUCCCUCACCUUUGCUCACAGGUGAGCCUUCCCCAGCAAAGCACUUCACUCCAGCCGUCCUUCCUCCUGCAAUCCUUUCUCCUCUGAAGACCACAGCAUCCUGUAAAAUAAAGCCAAUGGCACUGGUGUAUUAAUAGUAAAAUCGUGGCCAGCAGGACCAGGUCAGUGACUGCCCCUGUGCUGGGGCACCUCCAAUUCCGGGGUGUAACAGCCAGCGUGUCCCUCCAAGGCAGCACCUGAGUGGGUCAUGUCUGUGACAUUCUUUAAGGAAGAUGCUUCCUCUGGAUCACUUUCUUAGGGAGCCAUUCUGGUAGAGCUGGGAGCCACCAUGCAGUCUGGAUCCAGAGUCCUGGGUUUAUUCUGGAUUUGAUUUUGCUGGAUCCCUGUGGAGAACUCUGACCACCCUUCCAAGAUACUCUGUGACUGGUUUCUUUUCUCAGAGACUGAGUUAGAGGAAAUAUUUCACAGAGCAGUAGCUGGGCAAAUGCAAAUCCUCCUUGCAGAGUUCUUUUAACUUCAAGCCACUAAAUACACAUUUAGUCUAUGGAACCGUAUUUACUUCCCCUCUCAGGGGAACAAGUUUUGUCAGCUCUAAUGAUGAGCUGUUGUUUGACAUUCAUAAUAUUGUACUUCACUGCUUAUCUGAUGGAGCCACGCAAAGCUAUUUAGGGGGUUCUGAAAUGUGACAGCCCACAUGAUGCUUUUUUAGACUUCACAAACCGCCUUCACGAGGCAGAGAAUACGGCAUGGGAACGGCUGGCUGGAACAACGGUGUGCCUGAGUGCCAGCGGGGUUGCUGGAGCUGGGGAGGAGGAAUGGUCUUUGAAAGUUUGCAGCUUUUGUUGUGUGCUGUCAAAGGAAGAACUUGCAGCCUGGAAGAACAGGCAUCGUGGAUGCCAUAGGGUGGGAAGUGUGGAGUUUAUUGAUCCUGCCUGGAAACAGCAUAAAGAUGGAGGCAAAUAUGUUAAAACCUGUUUGGACCAUCCACAAACAGAAGGGGGCUCAAGGGAGACAGCUCAGAUACCCCAUUUCAUGCUGUCUUGCCUUAAUAAGCAGAAAGAUCUCACUUUCUAACAAAUUUCUGUAUCUUCAUCCUUUCUGACAUGCAGAGCAUUUAUUGCAAGCUUUGUUUUGAAUUCUGGAAGCCUCCAGGUAAAAUAAGUCAUUUAGGAAAACCAAACCUCAACAAAUCUUCUGGCUUCUUCUCACAGACUAACACGUAAACACUGGCAAAUAUUGUGAAAGACUGUUACUCCUUCAUGGUUUUAAAAAUUAUAAAGUAUCACAAUGUUUAUUUCAUUUUUUCCAUAGCAAAAGAGCACAAGGGUUACCUUUGACAUCUGUUCCAUAUGAACCCAUGGAAGCUGAGUAAAUGGGUGGUGCAUUCUCACUUCCUUGCAGUGGCCAAGUUGGUUUUGUGUUCUAUAUUUUCAUCCUUCUGAAAUUGCUAUUCAUUUUUUUCAUAUCACUGAGAGGAUUUCAUAUCCCAGAUGAGAUGAACAGAUUAAAUAAGCAAGUAAGCAGUAGAAGAUGUUUUUUUGUGACUCAAGAGAAAGAAUAAAUUCCAGUCUGGAUGAGUAGAAAUCUCUGACUCCCCUGAGACCAGGAUUUUUCUUGCAGGCUUUAUGGUUGUCUAAUUGGAGUGGUCUUUUUGCCAAAAGCAAUGCAGAAUAUUCCACUUACCUGACAAAAUGUCUGCCACCAGGAGGUAGCUUCACUCAGUUAUACAUUUCUUUAAGAUGAAGACAAACUUAAAUUUAUUGCUCAUUUCAUUCAUAACCAGAAGUUCUCCUCACUUGCCAAACUGCUGAAUCAGCUUGGGUACCUCAGCCUUGAGUCAGCACAGCCCAAAAUAGAAACUUGCUCCAUUUCCGAAGAGAGGAAGUACCACUGUUGUCUGCAAAUACAACCACAUCUGACUUGCUUUUAUAGCUACAAACACUCAUGCAGGGACUUGCAUGGCACUCUGCUGCUUUAAAAAAAAAAAAAAAAAAAAAAAAAAAGGAAGUCAAAAGGCACUUUCUUAUUUAAAAUAGGAGUGUUAGGGUUGCUAUGAGUGGGACUGUGUGGAUGUGGAAGUGCCAAGGAAUAACGAGCAAGAGAAGGACUUUACAAGUGGCAGUCAUUGAUGUUACCUAGCCUAGCCCAGCAUCAAGCUCCCACUCCACCUGCUUGUAGUUUCUCAGGAUGUACUCAGGAAUUAGGCAGACAAUGAACAGGCUAUAACCAAACUGAAGCAAAGUUUUAAGCCAUUAGGAAAUAAUGGCAAGAAAACACAGUAGAAGCUCUAAAACACUGACUGGAGAUCAGCUACAGCAUUCCCAAGGUAGAGCUGAGUCAGUCCUGCUGCCAUAAGGUAACUCCACUUUAUAGCACAGCAUAAAACAGCAAAAAACCUGGGGAAAUGACCAAGAGCUGCAGUCAAAUACUGGGAAGUGACACUAAAGUCAUCAGCAGGACUUCAUGAGUAGGUGGAAGGCAGUGGAAAGGCACAUAAUGUGAUACAAAUGAGGGAGGAUUUUCUGUGGCUCAAAGUCAGGAUUAGAAGUAGAAGAAUGAGAAUAAUAUGAAUUUGCUCAAUCUGCCCUUUUCAAGCUCUGCAGUUUUUUCUCUUGCAAAUGAGCAUCUGUGGUAUUUGGCAUCCUACAAAAGGACCCCCCAUUGACAAGCAGCACUGGGGUGCCCCUUCCCAUGGGUGCUCCUGGUUUUCCUUUCCUGUAUACCACAGGAUGGUGUCAUGUUCUUCCUGGUCCAAGCAAACUACUGUUUCUGGUGCCUCCAUUUAAUGUGUCUGAACUGGCUCUAUUUUCCACAAGGAAAGGCCAUUCCAAUGGGCAGACAAAAAUCAGUAACCACUUUCAAAUCAUGGCCAGACAAGUUGUGAUCCUUGGCAUAGGAUUUUCCUGCAGUACUAUGGAGGAAGCUGUAGAUAUUUGAAAAAAUUGCCAUUUCUGCAACAGGUGUGAAGGUUGCAACACACAAUUUUACCAUUUUGGGAUUUUUGCAACAAUGCAGUUGCAAAUUGAAGCAUGUUUUAUAUGUAGUGUUUUGGAUUAUUCAGUUGAAAGAGGUGGGGAUGAGGAUUUACAGGUGUAAUUACAGGAUUGUGCAGUCACCUUGUGCACACACUGCAGGUUUGGAAGGAAGAUCUGCUGCAAAUCCACAGAAAACCCCAGCUAAGGAAUUGCAUGUGCCACAAGCAAUUACACAGCGUAAAACUUUGUGAAACAUUUGCUAUGUGUGCACUAGGCCCUUUUUAAAUUUAGAUUUCUAGGAAGAAGAGAAUUGCUGGGGCAUUUCUGUGACCUGAUCCCUCGUCUUGGUUGAUCCGCGGUGGAAAGGUGACCCCGGGCACGGCUGAGGGGGAAUGGAUCUGGUGAGAGCCAUCGCUGUCUGAGCCAAGCAGAGUGUUCCCAACUGCAUCCCUGAAUAGAUUCACUUGCUCUUUCCCUGGCUCUAUUUUAGCCACAAAUCUGUUAUUCUGCCCUGUGGGUGCCAACAGGUUUUAAAAAAUAACCAAACUCAGUAAUACUGGAUUUCUGGUGCACUUUUUUUUCCCCAAAAGGGUUGAAGUGAACAUUCUUCUCACCUAUACCUAGGACCUCACCUGUGUGGCUGCAAAGGCUUCACCUCUGGUGACAUCCAAAAAGGUACAUGAUUCUUGCUCCUUCAGUGGAGCAGAUAUAUCUCAGCAACUUAGCAAUGUUGUGAUAAGUAUGAAGUGGAAGGCAUUGAAAAACUAUUAUAUCAAUUUUUAGUUUGUAUUUAAGACCAUUUCUACACACUUUUGUGUUCUCAAGCUUGGAAAAAGUUCACUUUUGUCUACAAACACAGGAACCAGUUGUUACUUCAAAAUUUUGUUGUGAUGGUAGGAUUGAGACUUGGAUGAAACAAGGAUUCAUACAGGGAAAUUUAUAGAAUCAAACAAUCAUGGAAUGAUUUGGGUUGGAAGGGACUUUAAAGAUCAUUUACUUCCAAACCCCUGCUGUGGCAGGGACACGUUCCACUAGACCAGGUUGAAUGUGAAAGCAAACAGCUUCCAAAAACUCAUGUUUAAAACUGAGUAUGAAUGCAUGUUUGUGCCAUGUGCUUUGUUCUGUUUCCAAAGGAAACAAAAGAAGAAAAUGUUGCUGAGAAUACUAAAACAUAACACUUUGGCAGCAGUGGUUAUCACAUCCUCCAGGCAUUUUUACCUGUGGUGUUGCCCUGACAAUUGUGGUGCAUUGUGGAAAUAAAAUGUGAAGUCACUCAGGACUGGUUGUGGAUGAGGCAUGUACAUAAAUACCUUUUGACAGAGGUAAGAGGGAAUGCUUGUUUCUACAGGGGAAAGGGAAUAGUGGUUCUGAGAACUGAAAACACAGCAAAUGUUUGUUAAAAGUGGAGCUGGGGAGCAGGACAAGGUGGCACAUAGAACCCAGUGAAAGGUCACAGAGGGAGAAAUGCUACAAUCCAGCAUUUAUUGGCUAAAUGUAACCAGGAUUUAGGAAUGGGACCCUAAUCCUUUUAUAAACCAGGAAUCUCUUUGAGUUGGGUGAAUGGGACAACCAACAGCCACCAUCAACUAAUAAAAAUCACACCCCCGUGCUUUGUGGCACACAUUAAACUCAGUGGAAGAGUCAGGGAAAAUCCCAUGGCAGGCUGUCCAGCAAAUUCCCACCAAAGGUUACCUCCAGGCUGCAGCUUCCAUAAGCUCUGAAUGAUUUGUACCUGUGAGAACUGCUCAGAGGUUGCUUGGUAGAUUCAGAGGGAUGAGUUAUUCACCAAAGGGAACCUGGUAAAGAUGGUGCUACUAUGUGUGAUCUCAUGCCUAAAACUGUCCCACAUCUUGUCUGUUUAUUUGGGAAAUUAAUUUCUAGAACACUUGGAAAACAAAACCAGGAAUUGAAAUUGCCUCUCAAUAUUUCUUCAGUCCAAACAAAAAAA